GGUUUGGUGGUCUAGUGGUAUGAUUCUCGCUUAGGGUACACCCUAUGCUGCAGCAUGCGAGAGGUCCCGGGUUCAAUCCCCGGCCAAACCC
RNAcentral lists this transfer RNA (91 nucleotides) under Daldinia decipiens. RNAcentral describes it as "tRNA-Pro". It matches the Rfam family "tRNA". Rfam says of the family: Transfer RNA (tRNA) molecules are approximately 80 nucleotides in length. The record is from RNAcentral. Lineage: Eukaryota; Fungi; Ascomycota; Sordariomycetes; Xylariales; Hypoxylaceae.